RNAcentral lists this long non-coding RNA (260 nucleotides) under Setaria viridis. RNAcentral describes it as "long non-coding RNA (SVIR_LNC001739)". Lineage: Eukaryota; Viridiplantae; Streptophyta; Magnoliopsida; Poales; Poaceae. The record is from RNAcentral.
UCAUCCUAGAUGUUCUUGCACAUGUACUAGAACCAAUUUUCCCCAAGAAAAACACCCCAAAAUGCUACCAAUCAUGAGAUCCAAAAAUUCACCCGAAAAUGCUCCAAAAAUAGGGAAAAAGAUAAAUUUCAGAUUGUGAGAAGGCGAAGCAAUUGAGCAUGAAAUUGAUCCUUGGAUUACCUCACCAUGUUCGGUUACAAGCCAAUCCUAAGCACAAGCAAAACUAGGAUAGCAAAAAGAUCAACACAAAGAUCCCUCCU